RNAcentral lists this ribosomal RNA (493 nucleotides) under uncultured bacterium. Its description in RNAcentral is "partial 16S ribosomal RNA". It matches the Rfam family "Bacterial small subunit ribosomal RNA", at positions 30 to 523 of the family's 1533-position model. The record is from RNAcentral.
AUUGAACGCUGGCGGCAUGCUUUACACAUGCAAGUCGAACGGUAACAGGUUAAGCUGACGAGUGGCGAACGGGUGAGUAAUGCAUCGGAAAGUGCCCGAUCGUGGGGGAUAACGCAGCGAAAGCUGCGCUAAUACCGCAUACGAUCUGAGGAUGAAAGCGGGGGACCGUAAGGCCUCGCGCGAUCGGAGCGGCCGAUGUCAGAUUAGGUAGUUGGUGGGGUAAAGGCUCACCAAGCCAACGAUCUGUAGCUGGUCUGAGAGGACGACCAGCCACACUGGGACUGAGACACGGCCCAGACUCCUACGGGAGGCAGCAGUGGGGAAUUUUGGACAAUGGGCGAAAGCCUGAUCCAGCCAUUCCGCGUGCAGGAUGAAGGCCCUCGGGUUGUAAACUGCUUUUGUACAGAACGAAAAGGUUUCUGCUAAUACUAGGAGCUCAUGACGGUACUGUAAGAAUAAGCACCGGCUAACUACGUGCCAGCCGCCGCUGUAA